GAUGAAGAACGCAGCAAAAUGCGAUAAGUAAUGUGAAUUGCAGAAUUCAGUGAAUCAUCGAAUCUUUGAACGCACAUUGCGCCCGCCAGUAUUCUGGCGGGCAUGCCUGUUCGAGCGUCAUUAAGUCCACUUAAGCCCUGCUUAGUGUUGGGAGACUGCUCCAGCGGUGCUACCCUGUAGCUACCCUGCAGCUCCUCAAAGACAGCGGCGGAGUUGUGGUAUCCUCUGAGCUUAGUAACUUGUUCUAGCUUUCGAGUACACCACUUCCCCUGCCGUAAAACCCUUAAUUUUUAAUGGUUGACCUCGGAUCAGGUAGGAAUACCCGCUGAACUUAAGCAUAUCAAUAAGCGGAGGA
RNAcentral lists this unclassified non-coding RNA (355 nucleotides) under soil metagenome. RNAcentral's name for it is "partial contains 5.8S ribosomal RNA, internal transcribed spacer 2, and large subunit ribosomal RNA". The stretch from base 1 to 120 matches the Rfam family "5.8S ribosomal RNA", at positions 35 to 154 of the family's 154-position model. The record is from RNAcentral.